AUGUAAAAAUGCACGCUUGCAAAAAUAAAACUAGUUGUCACACGUGGUUUUACCCGCGUCCCGAUGGAUUUAAUUCCCGUACCAGGACAAAAUAUAGCCUAUGUUCAACGCAUUUAGUGUAGCUACCUAAUAGUGAAAGAAUUCGGUUUGAUCGUUUCGGAGCCUAUUCGCGGCAAACAAAAAAAUAAACAAACAAACAAUCAAAUCUUGCCUCUUUAUAAUAUUAGUAGAGAAAUGCUGAGACUGCAGAUGCUGCCAUAUAAAGAUUAUUUGCGAUGGUGCAUACGAGCGUUUAAAUUGUAGCGUUUUCGGUAGCUCAGUCAGGCAGACAAUCGUUUGUAAAUCGCAUAUUAUGUAGAUGUUCUACCAAUUGUAGAAACGAUGUAUAGCAACUUCUACCCACGAUCGACGCAAAACAAGCAGUUUAUAAACUUUUUCCAUGUAUAGGUAGGAAAUAUGUUUAUCAGCAGAAACGCUGCGGUUUGCACGCUCGCGUACAUUAUUUCAACUUCUUACACGUGGAGUACCCAAAUAAGAACUUGAAUCUCACGUUUCUAUAGUAUAUUUAAAAACAAUGUAUAAUUAUGUAUUUAAUUUUAUAAUUUUGAACCUUAAUGACAAGAAAAAACAAAAUGCGAGUAAGUAUAAAACCAGAAUAAAAUCCUGGAGAAAUCACAUUCCCGUUGAAUAUCUCGUUCUACAAUGUCGAACUCCAGUGAUAUUUUCAUCAAUGAUUCAUCAUGCUCCCAAAUACCGGCAGCGCAACAACUACGUCAAAAUGUUUUGAACUACCUAGAGAGGGAAAGACCGUUCCGGUAUGAUGAAAUAAGAUCGAGUCCAUCGUACUCUCCGAUUCCAGCAGCAUCAAGAGAAAGACCCUUUCAAUUCGAAGAAAGACCGAGCAGCAGCGGCCCUGAAAGAGUUCCUAAUAGUAAAAAACGAGGGACCAAAACUUUGUAUUCGUACAUUAAAAAGCCUGCAAAGGGUUUACAAUCGAAAGUAAUACGGAUCCAAAUCUAUGAUGCAGAAGAUUUAAAAAGUUCUAAAUUAUGUGAGUGUAGGGCUAAUGUAUGCGCUCAGCAUAUUGUUGAAAAUGUGUUUAACGAUGAUAUAUACAAGUGCGCAAAAGAUAUGAUAAGUAAAAUUCAAAAGAAACUGUAAAUAAUUCAUAAAUAAACAAUAUUACUGA
Long non-coding RNA from Helicoverpa armigera (cotton bollworm), 1189 nucleotides. RefSeq lists it as uncharacterized. The transcript is spliced from 2 exons. The record is from RefSeq and is a predicted model, not a curated record. NCBI's taxonomy places the organism in Eukaryota, Metazoa, Arthropoda, Insecta, Lepidoptera, Noctuidae.